GUCAGGAUGGCCGAGCGGUCUAAGGCGCUGCGUUCAGGUCGCAGUCCACUUAGGUGGGCGUGGGUUCGAAUCCCACUUCUGACA
Non-coding RNA from Dendroctonus ponderosae (mountain pine beetle), 84 nucleotides. The record is from Rfam. Lineage: Eukaryota; Metazoa; Arthropoda; Insecta; Coleoptera; Curculionidae.